Molecule: ribosomal RNA, 235 nt
Filed under: Enterobacter roggenkampii
Lineage: Bacteria; Pseudomonadati; Pseudomonadota; Gammaproteobacteria; Enterobacterales; Enterobacteriaceae
Description: partial 23S ribosomal RNA
Rfam family: Bacterial large subunit ribosomal RNA
Source: RNAcentral
GAAUGCUGACAUAAGUAACGAUAAAGCGGGUGAAAAGCCCGCUCGCCGGAAGACCAAGGGUUCCUGUCCAACGUUAAUCGGGGCAGGGUGAGUCGACCCCUAAGGCGAGGCCGAAAGGCGUAGUCGAUGGGAAACAGGUUAAUAUUCCUGUACUUGGUGUUACUGCGAAGGGGGGACGGAGAAGGCUAUGUUAGCCGGGCGACGGUUGUCCCGGUUUAAGCAUGUAGGCGGAGGU